Molecule: long non-coding RNA, 2472 nt
Organism: Bubalus bubalis (water buffalo)
Lineage: Eukaryota; Metazoa; Chordata; Mammalia; Artiodactyla; Bovidae
Exons: 4
Source: RefSeq, a predicted model, not a curated record
CACUGGUCACAUGACCCUGAUGGGAAACAGGUGGAAAACCACUUGGCCAAAGAUUCUUUCUGAACCAGUUCAGUGUAUACAAUCCCAUGAGGUCAGAGCCCCACUCGGAGAGGUUAUGAAUCUGCAGGUUUCAGGUGAGGCCAUGAAAUGAGUCUUCAGCAAGCUCCCUGUUUAUUCUGAUGCUUCUUCGCCAAGACCCACACUCAGGAGCCCUGAGCUUCAGCCCUCAUACUCAGCACAGCUGAGACCUCUCAGGAGGGAAGGGUUUAGGUCGGGAAUUUCUUGGAGAGGUCAGGCUAGAACCAAGCAGAGAAAGCUCCAGUAGUUGGGGUUCAGGCCUUUCUAAGGGACCCUGGGUGAAGUGCUGUGGGCUCCCCAGGCUGAUCGUGGAUGGGUACAUUCAAACCAAGAGGAGCAGGAUUCUGGUAUAAAGAAGCUCUUCUCCUCAAGCUACUUAAGACUUACAACAGUUUGGUAAUUUACACCUCUGGAUUACUACAGUUUCACAUCAAGAUAAGGGGAAUGCAGAGAUCCCAGCCAAUCCCUGGAACAGAUUCUGAGAGAAUAACACCAGAAGUCACCCUGGGGCCCCUUCAUGAGACAGGGUGAGAGCUCCGUGACCCCAGCAAGGUGGGGUCUAGAGUCCCAUGCCAGCCUGAAGAAGCUCCAGAAGACAGACCUUUGCCCUUCAUCUUCCCAAUAAACAAUUUUAUUUUUCAUGUCUCUCAGAGGGAUUUGAGGUAGGAGAUAGAAGGGCCCCCAGGCUGGAAAGCUGGAGUCUGUCAGGUGGAGUAAAGUUGAAGCUCUGUUCUCACCAGACACUCCAAGGACAAAGCUAGUGGCAGAAGCUGAGCCCUGCUGGGGUCAAGAGAUAAAAUGCCCAUUCCUGAGGACAAGCAAAGCUUCCCUCUCUGUACACGCGCAGGAAGGCUGCUUGGAGCUGAGAAGUCCAUGUGGCCCCAUCCCAUAAGUGUGGACACAUACAACAGGCCUCUGUGGUGGGAUCAGUGUGAGGGAAAGGUGCCCAGGCUUGGUGAGGGCCUUCCCAGGUGGCUCAGCAGUAAAGAAUCUGCCUGAGAUGCAGAAAAGGCAGGAGACGUCACUGGUUGGUUACCUGGCUCAGGAAGAUACCUUGAGGAGGGCCUGGCAACCCAUUCCAGAAUUCCUACCUGGAGAAUCCAACGGACAGAGGAGACUGGCGGGCCACAGUCCAUCGGGUCGCAAAGAGUUGGACACGACUGAAGCGACUGAGCACACACGAGGGCUGGUGGUUAUUAGCUGCCCAGCAGAUGUUUACAGUUGCUUUUACCAGGGUCAGGAUUAAGUCAGAGCCAGAGUCAUACCAGAGUGAGGCCUAAGUACGUACCACGGUCAGGCCUGAGUGUGGACCAGAAUCAGGCCUGAGUGUGGACCAGAGUCAGGCCUGAGUGUGGACCAGAAUCAGGCCUGAGUGUCCACCAGAGUCAGGCCUGAGUGUGGACCAGAAUCAGGCCUGAGUGUGGACCAGAGUCAGGCCUGAGUGUGGACCAGAAUCAGGCCUGAGUGUCCACCAGAGUCAGGCCUCAGCGUGGACCAGAAUCAGGCCUGAGUGUCCACCAGAAUCAGGCCUCAGUGUGGACAAGAGACAGGCCUCAGUGUGUACCAGAGUCAGGCCUUGUUGUGCACCAGAGUCAGGCCUCAGUGUGCACCCAAGUCAGGCCUCAGUGUGACCAGAGUCAGGCCCGAGUGUGACCAGCAUCAGGCCUGAGUGUUUCCAGAGUCAGGCCUCAGUGUGACCAGAGUCAGGCCUGAGUGUGACCAGCAUCAGGCCUGAGUGUGCACCAGAGUCAGUCCUGAGUGUGGAACUGAGUCUUCCUGAUGCUUGACUAUUACUCACUUAGGUCUCACUCUGGUCUACACCAAGGCCUGACUCUUGUACCCACUCAGGCCAGACUCAGGUCCACACUAAGGCAUGGUUCUGGUCCACACUCAGGCCUGACUCGAAACCACUGAAGACCUGACUCUCGUCCACUUUCAGGGCUGACUGGUCCACGUUAAGCCUGACUCUGGCUCACACUGAGGCCUGACUGUGGUUCUCACUGAGGCCUCAUACUGUCCCACACUACAGCCUGACUCUAGUCCACACUUAGGCCUGAGUCUGGUCCUCAAUUAGGCCUGACUCUGGUCAAGGCUAAGGCCUGGUUCCACACUAGGGCCUGAAUCUGCUGCUCACUAAGGCCUGUACAUCAUAAAUCAGUUCAACCCCAAAUAAGUUAUAAUCAGAGCUGGCAUGAGCUUAGUCAGAAACUGACAGAAAAUUUCAGAGCUAUUAUCCAGCAAUAAAAAAUAAAUUAAAAAAAUCAUAUAUGUGUGUAAACUUUCAGUGAUUGGGCUCCAUGCCUGCAGAGAGAGCUAGAGAAAAAGUAAUAUUUUAGAAGACAGCCACACCCCAGCGAUAUCGGCAGCUCUAGGUUCAAUAACCAAGACAGCGAA